GACGAACGCUGGCGGCGUGCUUAACACAUGCAAGUCGAACGGAAAGGCCCCUUUCUGGGUACUCGAUCGGCAAACGGGUGAGUAAGACGUACGUGAGCUUCCCUUGACUUCGUGAUAGCUUCAGUAAACUGAGUCUGGUACCAGAUAGGAAUCCUUUCUUCAUGCUCGGGGUUGGAUAGCUUCGGCCGGUUUGGAUGGCCUCGCUGGUUAUCAGCUUGUUGGUGGGGUGGUGGGUUACCAAGGCGUUGUCGGGUAGCAGGCCUGAGAGGGUGACCGGCCAACGUGGGACCGAGAUACGGCCCCGGUUCCUAAGGGAGGGAGGUGGGGGGAAUCUUGCCCAAUGGGCGGAAGGCUGGUGCAGAAAGGCCGCGGGCGGGAAGACGGCCUUAGGGUUGUAAACCGCUUUCCGCAGGGGCGAAGCUGGUGGUGACGGUACCUGCAGAAGAAGCACCGGCUAACUACGUG
This 465-nucleotide ribosomal RNA is filed under the name uncultured bacterium. RNAcentral's name for it is "partial 16S ribosomal RNA". It matches the Rfam family "Bacterial small subunit ribosomal RNA", at positions 28 to 507 of the family's 1533-position model. The record is from RNAcentral.